Molecule: long non-coding RNA, 261 nt
Organism: Nerophis lumbriciformis (worm pipefish)
Lineage: Eukaryota; Metazoa; Chordata; Actinopteri; Syngnathiformes; Syngnathidae
Source: RefSeq, a predicted model, not a curated record
GUACUUCCUGUAUACUUUCUAUGACUUGAGGGCUUUGAGGACCUCCACCUCGCUGGAGACUCCAGAUGGUGGCGGGGCCUGCCUUUUCACAACUGUCAUCCUGAGACUGCGUUCGUGACGAGACACCAAACACUCCAGGCAUCAUUGUGGGCACCACGUCGUAUCGACGCUCCCCCCCAACCAUGUCAGCUUUGAAGGAUCCCGGGAUAUUUCCUCUACUUCUCAACAAGCUGACGAGGCGACGUCAACGUCUGUCAGAGG